RNAcentral lists this ribosomal RNA (1665 nucleotides) under Triticum aestivum (bread wheat). RNAcentral's name for it is "partial small subunit ribosomal RNA". Lineage: Eukaryota; Viridiplantae; Streptophyta; Magnoliopsida; Poales; Poaceae. The record is from RNAcentral.
UAGCCGGACGCGUUAAUCGGGUGUGAUGUACUUCUAUAGAUCGCAAGGUGGUGGCGUGUGCAUAUUUACUCGCUGGUUUUGGGAUCAGGUAAGAAGGGGUGGCGGCGGAACGGGGGAGAGCGGCCUAACGGCGAGGCGCAGGUGGCUUCUUAGUGGUUACCGAGGCUGCAGCUUCUACCGCGAGCCGUAUUUCGCCCGCAGCUCUAGCGUGUGGAUGGUGGCGGCGCCCGAAACCCGGUAGUUCCGGUUCGUGCCGCCGCGGAACGGGUUCCGGCUCUUCGGCCGGCGGCAGCGGCUCGGGUUCAAGAUAGGGCGACUACUACAGUUCGGUGCGUGGCACUCGUGUGCGUUCGGGGUAGGGUGGUUCGAGUCUAGCUGGUAGUGUGGCCCGUGCCACGACUAGGACGAGCGCCCCUCCAUGUACCCUUUCGCGCACCACAAGGAGUUCGUCGAGGUCAGGCCGGAAGAGGAGUAGUGACCUGGAAAGUUCUAGUUACCGCACGGUUAGGCGUCUCACUUGGUCCGAAUGCAGUAACGGUGUAGGUGUUUCCAGCUGUAGAGAUUCCAAUUACACGUCUUCAAACUACUGUUCAUGAAGCGAUCCCUCUUCUUCUGAUCCCGUUUCUUCUGACUCCCGCUCGAUAAACUCAGCCUAUUCCUCCGUUGGUUCUUAAACGGUCUGAAGUUCUUCCUACUGGUCUUCCAGUAACUGCGACUCAACUAGUUCCGAUAGCUACGACAGGGUCUGGAAUUUUUAAUAGAACCACGGGCCAAGAGGGAGUCCCUACCGCUGUUCGGCGUACUCUACUGGAAGAUUCAAUGGACCAUGUUCAAAGUUCUAGACACCUUCAGAAAAAACAGAUCACACACAAGACCAAGACAUGAAGACUAAAGAAAACGGACCAACCACUUAUAAACUAAAGGUGACUUCAGACGGACAGUUUAUAAAACUCUUCUAUUGAUCCUUCAUGGUAGGGGAAACAACCGAACAACACUGUAAAAGAACUAGGUAGCAGCAUAAUAAGUCCGACGUUAAGCUCAGUUACAAAAUAGAAGACUAGUAACACGUACUGCGGUACGAAACCGUGUCCACAACACCAUACUUAAACGUUCAUCCAGUUGUCAUAUACCACUAGGAAUAAACGUCUCGAACCUGUCACCACACUAAAGCAACCCCGUACAGUCAUCAGACGUUGUUAGGCAAGGGGAUUUUCACGAGGUCGUCUAGAACAUUUGCACUCAUACCAAAUCCCUUUCAACCCAGUUUUUUCUCGUUGUCUAGAACAUUAGAAGAAACUUGCUGUGAAUAAGACCGUCUCACGCAUGUUAGACUAUGAGGGAGACUACACUUUAUACAAAACACCAAAUUUAAGUUAGAAGAAACUUGAUUUUGGCGUUGUGAAUACAACCGUGAAUACCUUCGUAACAUUGCCUAACCAUAAACCUGGCUGCUCCCAUUCGAACUGUCACGGGUAGAAUUGAUCAGUCCAGAAACUACUCGAAUCCAGGACCCAAUCUCGCCCUCGUGUUCCUCAAUCGUAGAAAACACUCAUCACCAGCACAUCAUCCUCACCUCCAUCGACCCGGCCGACCACGAACACACACGACGAUCUCGGAACUACAUUAGUAUGAGAACAUGUAUAAAGACGGAGGAUAUUUCGGUUC